RNAcentral lists this ribosomal RNA (2544 nucleotides) under Klebsiella pneumoniae subsp. pneumoniae MP14. Its description in RNAcentral is "bacterial LSU rRNA". It matches the Rfam family "Bacterial large subunit ribosomal RNA", at positions 399 to 2925 of the family's 2925-position model. The record is from RNAcentral. Lineage: Bacteria; Pseudomonadati; Pseudomonadota; Gammaproteobacteria; Enterobacterales; Enterobacteriaceae.
GUGAACUCGAAGAGUAGGGCGGGACACGUGGUAUCCUGUCUGAAUAUGGGGGGACCAUCCUCCAAGGCUAAAUACUCCUGACUGACCGAUAGUGAACCAGUACCGUGAGGGAAAGGCGAAAAGAACCCCGGCGAGGGGAGUGAAAAAGAACCUGAAACCGUGUACGUACAAGCAGUGGGAGCACCUUCGGGUGUGACUGCGUACCUUUUGUAUAAUGGGUCAGCGACUUAUAUUCUGUAGCAAGGUUAACCGUAUAGGGGAGCCGCAGGGAAACCGAGUCUUAACUGGGCGUUAAGUUGCAGGGUAUAGACCCGAAACCCGGUGAUCUAGCCAUGGGCAGGUUGAAGGUUGGGUAACACUAACUGGAGGACCGAACCGACUAAUGUUGAAAAAUUAGCGGAUGACUUGUGGCUGGGGGUGAAAGGCCAAUCAAACCGGGAGAUAGCUGGUUCUCCCCGAAAGCUAUUUAGGUAGCGCCUCGUGAACUCAUCUUCGGGGGUAGAGCACUGUUUCGGCUAGGGGGUCAUCCCGACUUACCAACCCGAUGCAAACUACGAAUACCGAAGAAUGUUAUCACGGGAGACACACGGCGGGUGCUAACGUCCGUCGUGAAGAGGGAAACAACCCAGACCGCCAGCUAAGGUCCCAAAGUCAUGGUUAAGUGGGAAACGAUGUGGGAAGGCACAGACAGCCAGGAUGUUGGCUUAGAAGCAGCCAUCAUUUAAAGAAAGCGUAAUAGCUCACUGGUCGAGUCGGCCUGCGCGGAAGAUGUAACGGGGCUAAACCAUGCACCGAAGCUGCGGCAGCGACACUAUGUGUUGUUGGGUAGGGGAGCGUUCUGUAAGCCUGCGAAGGUGUGCUGUGAGGCAUGCUGGAGGUAUCAGAAGUGCGAAUGCUGACAUAAGUAACGAUAAAGCGGGUGAAAAGCCCGCUCGCCGGAAGACCAAGGGUUCCUGUCCAACGUUAAUCGGGGCAGGGUGAGUCGACCCCUAAGGCGAGGCCGAAAGGCGUAGUCGAUGGGAAACAGGUUAAUAUUCCUGUACUUGGUGUUACUGCGAAGGGGGGACGGAGAAGGCUAUGUUAGCCGGGCGACGGUUGUCCCGGUUUAAGCAUGUAGGCUGGUUAUCCAGGCAAAUCCGGAUAAUCAAGGCUGAGGUGUGAUGACGAGGCACUACGGUGCUGAAGUAACAAAUGCCCUGCUUCCAGGAAAAGCCUCUAAGCAUCAGGUAACAUCAAAUCGUACCCCAAACCGACACAGGUGGUCAGGUAGAGAAUACCAAGGCGCUUGAGAGAACUCGGGUGAAGGAACUAGGCAAAAUGGUGCCGUAACUUCGGGAGAAGGCACGCUGGUGUGUAGGUGAAGUCCCUGCGGAUGGAGCUGAGACCAGUCGAAGAUACCAGCUGGCUGCAACUGUUUAUUAAAAACACAGCACUGUGCAAACACGAAAGUGGACGUAUACGGUGUGACGCCUGCCCGGUGCCGGAAGGUUAAUUGAUGGGGUUAUCCGUAAGGAGAAGCUCUUGAUCGAAGCCCCGGUAAACGGCGGCCGUAACUAUAACGGUCCUAAGGUAGCGAAAUUCCUUGUCGGGUAAGUUCCGACCUGCACGAAUGGCGUAAUGAUGGCCAGGCUGUCUCCACCCGAGACUCAGUGAAAUUGAACUCGCUGUGAAGAUGCAGUGUACCCGCGGCAAGACGGAAAGACCCCGUGAACCUUUACUAUAGCUUGACACUGAACAUUGAGCCUUGAUGUGUAGGAUAGGUGGGAGGCUUUGAAGCGUGGACGCCAGUCUGCGUGGAGCCAACCUUGAAAUACCACCCUUUAAUGUUUGAUGUUCUAACGUUGGCCCCUGACCGGGGUUGCGGACAGUGUCUGGUGGGUAGUUUGACUGGGGCGGUCUCCUCCCAAAGCGUAACGGAGGAGCACGAAGGUUAGCUAAUCCUGGUCGGACAUCAGGAGGUUAGUGCAAUGGCAUAAGCUAGCUUGACUGCGAGCGUGACGGCGCGAGCAGGUGCGAAAGCAGGUCAUAGUGAUCCGGUGGUUCUGAAUGGAAGGGCCAUCGCUCAACGGAUAAAAGGUACUCCGGGGAUAACAGGCUGAUACCGCCCAAGAGUUCAUAUCGACGGCGGUGUUUGGCACCUCGAUGUCGGCUCAUCACAUCCUGGGGCUGAAGUAGGUCCCAAGGGUAUGGCUGUUCGCCAUUUAAAGUGGUACGCGAGCUGGGUUUAGAACGUCGUGAGACAGUUCGGUCCCUAUCUGCCGUGGGCGCUGGAGAAUUGAGGGGGGCUGCUCCUAGUACGAGAGGACCGGAGUGGACGCAUCACUGGUGUUCGGGUUGUCAUGCCAAUGGCACUGCCCGGUAGCUAAAUGCGGAAGAGAUAAGUGCUGAAAGCAUCUAAGCACGAAACUUGCCCCGAGAUGAGUUCUCCCUGAGACUUUAAGUCUCCUGAAGGAACGUUAAAGACGAUGACGUUGAUAGGCCGGGUGUGUAAGCGCAGCGAUGCGUUGAGCUAACCGGUACUAAUGAACCGUGAGGCUUAACCUU